CAGGUUUACCUGUGUGACUGCGUACCUUUUGUAUAAUGGGUCAGCGACUUAUAUUCUGUAGCAAGGUUAACCGUAUAGGGGAGCCGUAGGGAAACCGAGUCUUAACCGGGCGUUAAGUUGCAGGGUAUAGACCCGAAACCCGGUGAUCUAGCCAUGGGCAGGUUGAAGGUUGGGUAACACUAACUGGAGGACCGAACCGACUAAUGUUGAAAAAUUAGCGGAUGACCUGUGGCUGGGGGUGAAAGGCCAAUCAAACCGGGAGAUAGCUGGUUCUCCCCGAAAGCUAUUUAGGUAGCGCCUCGUGAAUUCAUCUCCGGGGGUAGAGCACUGUUUCGGCUAGGGGGCCAUCCCGGCUUACCAACCCGAUGCAAACUGCGAAUACCGGAGAAUGUUAUCACGGGAGACACACGGCGGGUGCUAACGUCCGUCGUGAAGAGGGAAACAACCCAGACCGCCAGCUAAGGUCCCAAAGUCAUGGUUAAGUGGGAAACGAUGUGGGAAGGCCCAGACAGCCAGGAUGUUGGCUUAGAAGCAGCCAUCAUUUAAAGAAAGCGUAAUAGCUCACUGGUCGAGUCGGCCUGCGCGGAAGAUGUAACGGGGCUAAACCAUGCACCGAAGCUGCGGCAGCGAACGUAUCACCCAAGACAACUUUACGGAGUUGACGAUUGACGGAGCGAAGCGACGUCAAAGCGUUCAUUAAAGUCGAGUUGGCUUAGGGAUACGUUCGUUGGGUAGGGGAGCGUUCUGUAAGCCUGUGAAGGUGUGUCGUGAGGCAUGCUGGAGGUAUCAGAAGUGCGAAUGCUGACAUAAGUAACGAUAAAGCGGGUGAAAAGCCCGCUCGCCGGAAGACCAAGGGUUCCUGUCCAACGUUAAUCGGGGCAGGGUGAGUCGACCCCUAAGGCGAGGCCGAAAGGCGUAGUCGAUGGGAAACGGGUUAAUAUUCCCGUACUUGGUGUUACUGCGAAGGGGGGACGGAGAAGGCUAUGUUGGCCGGGCGACGGUUGUCCCGGUUUAAGCGUGUAGGUGUGUGUUCCAGGUAAAUCCGGUUCACUUUAACACUGAGGCGUGACGACGAGGCACUACGGUGCUGAAGCAACAAAUGCCCUGCUUCCAGGAAAAGCCUCUAAGCAUCAGGUAACACGAAAUCGUACCCCAAACCGACACAGGUGGUCAGGUAGAGAAUACCAAGGCGCUUGAGAGAACUCGGGUGAAGGAACUAGGCAAAAUGGUGCCGUAACUUCGGGAGAAGGCACGCUGACACGUAGGUGAAGUGAUUUACUCAUGGAGCUGAAGUCAGUCGAAGAUACCAGCUGGCUGCAACUGUUUAUUAAAAACACAGCACUGUGCAAACACGAAAGUGGACGUAUACGGUGUGACGCCUGCCCGGUGCCGGAA
RNAcentral lists this ribosomal RNA (1395 nucleotides) under Salmonella enterica subsp. enterica. RNAcentral describes it as "partial 23S ribosomal RNA". It matches the Rfam family "Bacterial large subunit ribosomal RNA", at positions 580 to 1874 of the family's 2925-position model. The record is from RNAcentral. RNAcentral also lists the same sequence under 1 other name. Lineage: Bacteria; Pseudomonadati; Pseudomonadota; Gammaproteobacteria; Enterobacterales; Enterobacteriaceae.